UAGUUUCUUAGAACAACGGAAUCAUGGAAAGAAUGGAAUAGCUCAUUCCGAAGUUUGUUUGCUAUUCUUGUAGGUUCAAGAAGUUUUUGAUGAAGCUGGAGUCUGGGGAUUCUGGAAAGGGGUUUUUCCAACAUUGGUUAUGGUACGUGUCAAUUACCUUCUUUCAAUGCUGUACGAUUGUCACUUUUGCCCCUAUCUGCUUCUGCCAGGUCAGCAAUCCUUCCAUACAGUUUAUGCUGUACGAGACCCUACUAAAGAAUUUAAAGCAACGUCGCGCUUUGAGCAACAGUAACAAAGGCGUAACUGCUUUAGAGGCAAGUAGUUGAAUAAACCUCUAAAUUUUCUUAUAAUCAUAUAAAGAUUAAUAUUAAUGUAUUGUGAUUUACUUUAGGUAUUUUUGCUUGGGGCAUUGGCAAAACUUGGAGCUACAGUUGUAACGUAUCCUCUUUUAGUUGUAAAGGUAAGUACUUUGAAGCUCUAUAUACAAAAAAAAAAAAAAAAUUACAUUUCCCAUUUAAUAAAUACUUUUUUUUUUUUUUUUUUUUUUGUAGUCGAGACUUCAAGCAAAGCAAGCGAUUGGGGUAGACAAAAAGCAUCAGUAUAAAGGUAUGUGAGUUAAUCAGAGACAAAAAAAAAAGAAGGCUGUUAGUUCUUACCUACAUGAUGUGUUUUCCAUUAGGCACACUGGAUGCGAUAUUAAAGAUGAUACGUUAUGAAGGGUUCCAUGGUUUUUACAAAGGAAUGAGCACUAAGAUAGUGCAAAGUGUUCUUGCUGCUGCUGUUUUGUUCAUGGUAAAGGA
RNAcentral lists this long non-coding RNA (800 nucleotides) under Lactuca sativa (garden lettuce). Its description in RNAcentral is "long non-coding RNA (LSAT_LNC001961)". Lineage: Eukaryota; Viridiplantae; Streptophyta; Magnoliopsida; Asterales; Asteraceae. The record is from RNAcentral.